AUGGGCCAGGAGCAGAGUUUAACAGAUAGGUCUCUUCUGUGCUUGGGAAUUGCCGCUAUCACUGACCUACAAGAUCAACUUUUUGUACCUUUUCUUGCAUAUCCUGAAUCUUGUUCUGUUUGCCACUGCAGCAUCAUUUCACCAGGAAGAGCGGAAAGUCAUUACCUACAUGCUGAACAGCCUGAUGUCUGCAAAAGGCUUCUGGGAGCUGGGGAAUACAGUCUUUGGACCCAGAAUGUAAGAAGGAAAUGGCAAAGAUCUUUCUCCUGGAGCAAAUGUUCUCUAUACGCAAAGGUAGACCACAGAUAAGUACAGUCACACCAUACAUUUGGAAGCACCUGCAAUUGAUUUAUCAGAUGUUGUUAUCCAAGGCAAUGGAGAAUACCCAAGGCCACGGAAAAUGUUCUGCUGGAGAAACAUACUAAUUUGCUCCUCAGUACAGAUCCUGUAGACUGCUGAGAGGAUCUGCAUGGGCCAAACUUCAGGAUAACAAAGUACCAUUUUAUUGAAAUAUGCUGCCUCAGUACGCAGCAGUUGCAGCCAGUCUCAUGCCCUAUUGUAUUAGACAGCAUAAGGAAAUGUGAGUCCUGUGCUCCAAGUGACUCACAUUAUUAAGAAGUACUGCAUGCCAGGGUUAAGGAACUGGAGAGCAUACAUUUGCCACAAUGAAAUGCUUAGCAAGAUAAAUCAAAAAGCAGAUAAUUUAGGAAGGAAAAAUUAAGUGCAUGACUGCUUUUUCCCUCUUUAAAUUCUGGCUAUUAGCCCAGGCAUUAACCUAUCUAACCCACAAGUGAAUGAGUUGUUUAGGAAACACAGUGAUUCCAAGCCAAAAUCCGGGCAAAAUUUUUCUAUUUUCCCUGGAAGACAACAUGUGUUUAAGAUUGAUUUCUAGACCACUCAUCUGCUCUCUCAUACUCUCUUCUAAAAUUGUGGCACAGGAAUAACUGUGCCAAGGGAACCAGUAUUUGUGAGAAUGCUGGAGACUCAUACCUACUUCAGAUUAGCCAUGUUCUUUCCCUGUUCCACCGCUACCUACAUUUUCACUGAAUAAACUGCAAUAUCCCACUUUGCA
Molecule: long non-coding RNA, 1072 nt
Filed under: Coturnix japonica (Japanese quail)
Lineage: Eukaryota; Metazoa; Chordata; Aves; Galliformes; Phasianidae
Description: lncRNA (ENSCJPG00005009135.1)
Source: RNAcentral